GAUCCCAGGGACGCCCCCACAGGUAGACGAAGAGGGUCCAGAGAAAGGUGGGGAUUCCCUAACCCCUUCUUUCUUGGCACAGACAGGCAGAGAACACCUCUUUUCUCACCCCUGGGCAGCCCCAGGAAGUCAAUCCUUCCACUAUUCCUGCUCCGUGCCUCUCUUCCCUCUGCCCAGAUUCCUGGGAGACUCAAAACCCUGUUCAACUCUCUCUGGGCUAGCUGCUCCCCUCCCCAAGAGGAUUUCUCUCCAGAGCUGGUAUCAUCGCUUAAUGAUGUUCCACCAACAAGGGGAAGGUUUCUUUUCUGGGAGCUGCUAUCACUGAAUACAUAAAGAAAUUGAGCCUAUAUGAUUUCAAUCUUCACCUUCUGAUGCUGAUGAAACAGGAUUCUAUGCAGAGAAAAUCCUCUCCAGUCAAGUAAUUGCAUCCAUUUCAUCUUCCCAGCCCUCCUCUAGAUGGGAGGUGGAGGUGUGUGUACCAAUCUCUUAAUUCAGAAAUGAGACAAGAGGAGGAAAAAGGAGUUCCGGAGGACAGUGGGGACCCCAGCCAGAGCCUGGGGACUUGGCUGCCUUGGAACCAGAACCUGGCCCCUCAGAGGAGUUGCAGAAUUUCGAUAGAGGAGUGGCAGGAGGUGUACUGGCUGAAGAGGAGGCCCAAGGAACUCCUUUUCAUACAUCAAAACUGAGCUUAUCACCUCUACCCUGAAGUCAUCCUGGACAUCACUGGUCCCAGUUAAUCACUCACUUAUCUUUGCCAUCCUUGACCUGGGAAGAGAACGUUGCCCUCAUUGGUCUGGAAUCAGCAGGUACCUCAUGGCUGGAGGUGUAUUUUCAGGUGGG
RNAcentral lists this long non-coding RNA (840 nucleotides) under Homo sapiens (human). RNAcentral describes it as "HSALNT0301107". Lineage: Eukaryota; Metazoa; Chordata; Mammalia; Primates; Hominidae. The record is from RNAcentral.